RNAcentral lists this ribosomal RNA (253 nucleotides) under uncultured bacterium. Its description in RNAcentral is "partial 16S ribosomal RNA". It matches the Rfam family "Bacterial small subunit ribosomal RNA", at positions 524 to 776 of the family's 1533-position model. The record is from RNAcentral.
UACGUAGGGAGCAAGCGUUGUCCGGAAUCAUUGGGCGUAAAGCGCGCGUAGGUGGCUUCGUAAGUCCGUUGUGAAAGUCAAAGGCUCAACCUUUGAAAGCCGAUGGAUACUGCGGAGCUAGAGUACGGAAGAGGCGAGUGGAAUUCCUGGUGUAGCGGUGGAAUGCGCAGAUAUCAGGAGGAACACCAAUGGCGAAGGCAGCACUCUGGGACGUGACUGACGCUGAGACGCGAAAGCGUGGGGAGCAAACAGG